This 449-nucleotide ribosomal RNA is filed under the name uncultured bacterium. Its description in RNAcentral is "bacterial SSU rRNA". It matches the Rfam family "Bacterial small subunit ribosomal RNA", at positions 329 to 794 of the family's 1533-position model. The record is from RNAcentral.
UUCCAGACUCCUACGGGAGGCAGCAGUGGGGAAUAUUGCACAAUGGGGGGAAACCCUGAUGCAGCGACGCCGCGUGAAGGACGAAGUAUUUCGGUACGUAAACUUCUAUCAGCAGGGAAGAAAAUGACGGUACCUGACCAAGAAGCCCCGGCUAACUACGUGCCAGCAGCCGCGGUAAUACGUAGGGGGCAAGCGUUAUCCGGAUUUACUGGGUGUAAAGGGAGCGUAGACGGCCAUGCAAGUCUGAUGUGAAAACCCGGGGCUCAACCCCGGGACUGCAUUGGAAACUGUGCGGCUGGAGUGUCGGAGAGGCAAGUGGAAUUCCUAGUGUAACGGUGAAAUGCGUAGAUAUUAGGAGGAACACCAGUGGCGAAGGCGGCUUGCUGGACGACGACUGACGUUGAGGCUCGAAAGCGUGGGGAGCAAACAGGAUUAGAUACCCGUGUAAU